GAUGAACGCUGGCGGCGUGCCUAAUACAUGCAAGUCGAGCGAACAGACGAGGAGCUUGCUCCUCUGACGUUAGCGGCGGACGGGUGAGUAACACGUGGAUAACCUACCUAUAAGACUGGGAUAACUUCGGGAAACCGGAGCUAAUACCGGAUAAUAUAUUGAACCGCAUGGUUCAAUAGUGAAAGACGGUUUUGCUGUCACUUAUAGAUGGAUCCGCGCCGCAUUAGCUAGUUGGUAAGGUAACGGCUUACCAAGGCAACGAUGCGUAGCCGACCUGAGAGGGUGAUCGGCCACCCUGGAACUGAGACACGGCCCAGACUCCUACGGGAGGAAGCAGUAGGGAAUCUUCCGCAAUGGGCGAAAGCCUGACGGAGCAACGCGGCGUGAGUGAUGAAGGUCUUCGGAUCGUAAAACUCUGUUAUUAGGGAAGAACAAAUGUGUAAGUAACUGUGAACAUCUUGACGGUACCUAAUCAGAAAGCCACGGCUAACUACGUG
RNAcentral lists this ribosomal RNA (497 nucleotides) under uncultured bacterium. RNAcentral's name for it is "partial 16S ribosomal RNA". It matches the Rfam family "Bacterial small subunit ribosomal RNA", at positions 28 to 507 of the family's 1533-position model. The record is from RNAcentral.